RNAcentral lists this long non-coding RNA (438 nucleotides) under Lathyrus oleraceus (garden pea). RNAcentral's name for it is "Pisum sativum (pea) long non-coding RNA (PSAT_LNC000824)". Lineage: Eukaryota; Viridiplantae; Streptophyta; Magnoliopsida; Fabales; Fabaceae. The record is from RNAcentral.
GACAAUCAAAGAUACGUAGGAACACGACCGCAACCCAUAUGUUUUUCAUAUUUUUCUUCUACUAUAUAAUAUCAUCAGUUUUUUUUAUUAUGUUUAUUAUUUUAUUUGUAAUCAUGGUAGAUUUUAUAAUCCCUUACUUUCUAUUUUAUCCUUAGAUAACUUAUUUAAUAACUACUAUAUAGAGAUGUUUAGCCUGAUUAUUUUUCUACAAAAUUUACCCUUCAAUUGUUUUUAUAUUUACUAAGAAUCUCCAAAAAAAAUAACCGCGAGCGGUUAUAAUUUCAAAAGCAUAAACCACCGAUACUCAUUGAUGGAGCAAUAAACACAUAAUAAUCUGAUACUGUACUACAGUGAAAUUGAAAUGAGUUGAAGUGAGAAAGGUUUUCAUGGUUUUUAUGGAGGCAUCGUAUAAACAUGAAAAACUACAUACGUGCAAAG